RNAcentral lists this ribosomal RNA (566 nucleotides) under Salmonella enterica subsp. enterica serovar Thompson. RNAcentral describes it as "bacterial LSU rRNA". It matches the Rfam family "Bacterial large subunit ribosomal RNA", at positions 1084 to 1569 of the family's 2925-position model. RNAcentral also lists the same sequence under 2 other names. Lineage: Bacteria; Pseudomonadati; Pseudomonadota; Gammaproteobacteria; Enterobacterales; Enterobacteriaceae. The record is from RNAcentral.
CCCAGACAGCCAGGAUGUUGGCUUAGAAGCAGCCAUCAUUUAAAGAAAGCGUAAUAGCUCACUGGUCGAGUCGGCCUGCGCGGAAGAUGUAACGGGGCUAAACCAUGCACCGAAGCUGCGGCAGCGAACGUAUCACUUAAAGCGAUUCAGCGGGUUACGAUUGACGGAGCGAAGCGACGUCAAAGCGUAUACAAAGUCGAGUCGGUUUAAGGAUACGUUCGUUGGGUAGGGGAGCGUUCUGUAAGCCUGUGAAGGUGGCCUGUGAGGGUUGCUGGAGGUAUCAGAAGUGCGAAUGCUGACAUAAGUAACGAUAAAGCGGGUGAAAAGCCCGCUCGCCGGAAGACCAAGGGUUCCUGUCCAACGUUAAUCGGGGCAGGGUGAGUCGACCCCUAAGGCGAGGCCGAAAGGCGUAGUCGAUGGGAAACAGGUUAAUAUUCCUGUACUUGGUGUUACUGCGAAGGGGGGACGGAGAAGGCUAUGUUGGCCGGGCGACGGUUGUCCCGGUUUAAGCGUGUAGGUGUGUGUUCCAGGUAAAUCCGGUUCACUUUAACACUGAGGCGUGAUGA